AUUGAACGCUGGCGGCAUGCCUUACACAUGCAAGUCGGACGGCAGCACGGAGCUUGCUCUGGUGGCGAGUGGCGAACGGGUGAGUAAUAUAUCGGAACGUACCCUGGAGUGGGGGAUAACGUAGCGAAAGUUACGCUAAUACCGCAUACGAUCUGAGGAUGAAAGUGGGGGAUCGCAAGACCUCAUGCUCGUGGAGCGGCCGAUAUCUGAUUAGCUAGUUGGUAGGGUAAAAGCCUACCAAGGCAUCGAUCAGUAGCUGGUCUGAGAGGACGACCAGCCACACUGGAACUGAGACACGGUCCAGACUCCUACGGGAGGCAGCAGUGGGGAAUUUUGGACAAUGGGCGAAAGCCUGAUCCAGCAAUGCCGCGUGAGUGAGGAAGGCCUUCGGGUUGUAAAGCUCUUUUGUCAGGGAAGAAACGGUGAGAGCUAAUAUCUCUUGCUAAUGACGGUACCUGAAGAAUAAGCACCGGCUAACUACGUGCCAGCAGCCGCGGUAAUACGUAGGGUGCAAGCGUUAAUCGGAAUUACUGGGCGUAAAGCGUGCGCAGGCGGUUUUGUAAGUCUGAUGUGAAAUCCCCGGGCUCAACCUGGGAAUUGCAUUGGAGACUGCAAGGCUAGAAUCUGGCAGAGGGGGGUAGAAUUCCACGUGUAGCAGUGAAAUGCGUAGAUAUGUGGAGGAACACCGAUGGCGAAGGCAGCCCCCUGGGUCAAGAUUGACGCUCAUGCACGAAAGCGUGGGGAGCAAACAGGAUUAGAUACCCUGGUAGUCCACGCCCUAAACGAUGUCUACUAGUUGUCGGGUCUUAAUUGACUUGGUAACGCAGCUAACGCGUGAAGUAGACCGCCUGGGGAGUACGGUCGCAAGAUUAAAACUCAAAGGAAUUGACGGGGACCCGCACAAGCGGUGGAUGAUGUGGAUUAAUUCGAUGCAACGCGAAAAACCUUACCUACCCUUGACAUGGCUGGAAUCCUCGAGAGAUUGAGGAGUGCUCGAAAGAGAACCAGUACACAGGUGCUGCAUGGCUGUCGUCAGCUCGUGUCGUGAGAUGUUGGGUUAAGUCCCGCAACGAGCGCAACCCUUGUCAUUAGUUGCUACGAAAGGGCACUCUAAUGAGACUGCCGGUGACAAACCGGAGGAAGGUGGGGAUGACGUCAAGUCCUCAUGGCCCUUAUGGGUAGGGCUUCACACGUCAUACAAUGGUACAUACAGAGCGCCGCCAACCCGCGAGGGGGAGCUAAUCGCAGAAAGUGUAUCGUAGUCCGGAUUGUAGUCUGCAACUCGACUGCAUGAAGUUGGAAUCGCUAGUAAUCGCGGAUCAGCAUGUCGCGGUGAAUACGUUCCCGGGUCU
This 1352-nucleotide ribosomal RNA is filed under the name uncultured bacterium. Its description in RNAcentral is "bacterial SSU rRNA". It matches the Rfam family "Bacterial small subunit ribosomal RNA", at positions 28 to 1381 of the family's 1533-position model. The record is from RNAcentral.